GACGAACGCUGGCGGCGUGCCUAACACAUGCAAGUCGCACGAGUCCACUCCUUCGGGAGUGAGGCGAGUGGCGGACGGGUGAGUAACACGUGAGCAAUCUGUCCCGCUGCGGGGGAUAACCCGGGGAAACUCGGGCUAAUACCGCAUGGUCGGCUUCCAGGAUCUGGGAGCCGGGAAAGGUGGCCUCUUUACAAUGCUACCGUGACGGGAGGAGCUCGCGGGCUAUCAGCUAGUUGGUGCGGUCACGGCGCACCAAGGCAACGACGGCUACGGGGUCUGAGAGGACGACCCCGCACAUUGGAACUGAGACACGGUCCAGACUCCUACGGAGGCAGCAGUGGGGAAGUUUUGGGUCAAUGGCCGAAGGACUGACCCAGCGACGCCGCGUGCGGGA
This 394-nucleotide ribosomal RNA is filed under the name uncultured bacterium. RNAcentral describes it as "bacterial SSU rRNA". It matches the Rfam family "Bacterial small subunit ribosomal RNA", at positions 28 to 408 of the family's 1533-position model. The record is from RNAcentral.